Molecule: ribosomal RNA, 471 nt
Filed under: uncultured Planctomycetales bacterium
Lineage: Bacteria; Pseudomonadati; Planctomycetota; Planctomycetia; Planctomycetales
Description: bacterial SSU rRNA
Rfam family: Bacterial small subunit ribosomal RNA
Source: RNAcentral
ACUGAAGGUAAUACCGGGCGGCGCAGCGGAAUCGCAUGGUUCUGCUGCCAAAGGUCCGCCGCCGGGGGAGGGGCUCACGUGAUAUUAGCUUGUUGGCGGGGUAACGGCCCACCAAGGCAAAGAUGUCUAGCAGGUGUGAGAGCACGACCUGCGCCACUGGCACUGAGACACUGGCCAGACACCUACGGGUGGCUGCAGUCGAGGAUCUUCGGCAAUGGGCGCAAGCCUGACCGAGCGACGCCGCGUGUGCGAUGAAGGCCUUCGGGUUGUAAAGCACUGUCGAGGGGGAGGAAGCCGCAAGGUUGACCUAUCCCUGGAGGAAGCACGGGCUAAGUUCGUGCCAGCAGCCGCGGUAAGACGAACCGUGCGAACGUUGUUCGGAAUCACUGGGCUUAAAGGGCGCGUAGGCGGGCCACCAAGUCCGGGGUGAAAUCCUUCGGCUUAACCGGAGAAUUGCCUGGGAUACUGGUG